GAUGAACGCUGGCGGCGUGCUUAACACAUGCAAGUCGAACGGGAAACCUUUUACUGAAGCUUCGGCAGAUUUAGCUGGUUUCUAGUGGCGGACGGGUGAGUAACGCGUGGGUAACCUGCCUUAUACAGGGGGAUAACAACCAGAAAUGGUUGCUAAUACCGCAUAAGCGCACAGGACCGCAUGGUCCGGUGGGAAAAACUCCGGUGGUAUAAGAUGGACCCGCGUUGGAUUAGCUAGUUGGCAGGGUAACGGCCUACCAAGGCGACGAUCCAUAGCCGGCCUGAGAGGGUGAACGGCCACAUUGGGACUGAGACACGGCCCAGACUCCUACGGGAGGCAGCAGUGGGGAAUAUUGCACAAUGGGGGAAACCCUGAUGCAGCGACGCCGCGUGAAGGAAGAAGUAUCUCGGUAUGUAAACUUCUAUCAGCAGGGAAGAUAGUGACGGUACCUGACGAAGAAGCCCCGGCUAACUACGUG
RNAcentral lists this ribosomal RNA (478 nucleotides) under uncultured bacterium. Its description in RNAcentral is "partial 16S ribosomal RNA". It matches the Rfam family "Bacterial small subunit ribosomal RNA", at positions 28 to 507 of the family's 1533-position model. The record is from RNAcentral.